Molecule: ribosomal RNA, 253 nt
Filed under: uncultured bacterium
Lineage: Bacteria
Description: partial 16S ribosomal RNA
Rfam family: Bacterial small subunit ribosomal RNA
Source: RNAcentral
UACAGAGGGUGCGAGCGUUAAUCGGAAUUACUGGGCGUAAAGCGCGCGUAGGCGGUUUUGCAAGUCGGGUGUGAAAUCCCCAGGCUUAACCUGGGAACUGCAUUCGAGACUGCAUUGCUAGAGUAUGGGAGAGGGAAGUGGAAUUUCCGGUGUAGCGGUGAAAUGCGUAGAUAUCGGAAGGAACAUCAGUGGCGAAAGCGACUUCCUGGACCAAUACUGACGCUCAUGUGCGAAAGCGUGGGGAGCAAACAGG